CUUUUGACACACAUAACACCUGACUAGUCAGGGCACUGACCACUUUUCCCUUAGAUUGUCAGAUUU
This is a long non-coding RNA of Phyllostomus discolor (pale spear-nosed bat), 66 nucleotides long. RefSeq lists it as uncharacterized. The transcript is spliced from 3 exons. NCBI's taxonomy places the organism in Eukaryota, Metazoa, Chordata, Mammalia, Chiroptera, Phyllostomidae. The record is from RefSeq and is a predicted model, not a curated record.